Long non-coding RNA from Acyrthosiphon pisum (pea aphid), 2454 nucleotides. RefSeq lists it as uncharacterized. The record is from RefSeq and is a predicted model, not a curated record. The transcript has 3 exons. Lineage: Eukaryota; Metazoa; Arthropoda; Insecta; Hemiptera; Aphididae.
UGGAUAUUUUAUAAUGUUAUUAUUACAGAAUCUAAAAGAUAUUUAAUUUUAAAUCGACCGCGACGGAUAGUAAAUAGUAAAUAACUUUUUUGGCAAUCGGGUAAUCAAUUGUUAUAUAGUACGAAUUAAUAAAUACCUAUGCGUUUAUGAUAACAAAUAUAAAAUACAGGUUAAUAAAAUGGUAUCCAGUCAUAAUUUCAAUUUUAUUUUAGGUAGGUAACCAAAUAAUAAUGGCAACCAAUAAAUAAAAAAAAAAACUAGUUUUUAGGGUUAUGUACGGUAAAAUGGGGCCCUAUUAUAAAGCUCCGCUGUCCGCUUGUCCGUCCGUGUAGAAAAGUCAUAAACUCAUAAAGGAAACGAGUCAUCGUCGAGGGUAUACAACUAAAAUUUAAAAUGUUAUCUACUAUCUUAUCAUUAUUAUAAUGUGUGAGGAAUCCCAUAGGCCAUAAUCAUGGUUCUAAUACCAUUCCUACCACGAUAUGUAUCUUUAACCAUAGUAGAUACAACUAUACAAAAUACCUAUUUUAGUAACAUCCCUGUCAAUUUUAUUUGCAGUUAUUAAUCAUUAUACAAAUGUACCCAUAUAUUAUAUAUUAACUAGUUACUUACAUGACAAAAUAGAUCUAUUUUGUCAUGGUUACUCAUACGUAUUCGUAAUUCUUAUAAUCGUAUUGCACUAUUAGGUGUCAUUACGUCAGCGGCCCAUUUGCAAUAAAAUAUUAUCGGUACAAAAAUUAAAAAUCAUGUUCCGAAAAUUCCGUCUAAAUAUGUUGUAGUCGCAAGGUAAGGGAUUAAUUUUUUAGUUUUGGAUAAAUAAAAAAUAAAAAUAUAAUUCUGUGUUCAUAAUUUAUCAUAUAAGUUUAUUAUUAUGUUAGGUAAGGUAUUAUUGUAGAUAGGUAUGUAGUACCUAAUACCGGUAUGAAUACCAGUAGACAGUAGUCAUCAAUAUAUUAUAAUUUAUAAUAUUGUUUCGCAUUUACACUUACACAGUUCUGCAUUUACGUGGUAAGAAGUAUGCAAUUUAAAAACCAGAUAAAUCUAAACAGCAAAAACCAGAUAAACCCAAACAGCAAAAACCAGAGUGCGAGUGUAUAUUAUGUCCUCAAAACCAUUACAAAAUAUUAUGGACGAUAUGCAAUAAAUUACCGUAUGGUAAUUGGAAAGAACCAUAUCAAAAAAGAAACAAUAAAUAUUAUAAUAUAAUAUUCUUGUUUGGUUUGGUUUCAUUGAUUGGUUCUACUACAAUUAUACCAUGUCGGCCUGAUAUCCUGUCGGCCAAACGCCGUCGGCUUUAUAUCUUGUCGGCCUACUGGUUGUCGGCUCAACGUCGUGAUCCCGGUCAAAAUGGACAUAGACUGACCAGUUUGAACACCUAGUCUCUGAUUGGAAAUUAUGAUUUCUGAUAAGUUCAACUGGACAACAUUGAAGGUUUCAUAAAAAAAAAAAAAUUCCUAAAGUGUGACACUGUGUUGAAUCUUAAGGUAGCCGCUUUGGACACCUUUCCCCUACACACGACGAAAGAUGACGCAUACAUGGUGGACGACCCUACACUGAUCGUGUGGCCAAAAAUUGUAUGUGCUAUCAGUGAGUUCCGUGACCAACAACCGACGACGACAUUGACUUCGGAGGAUUCCAAGGUGUUGGAUGAGCUCACCGAAGACUUACUGGAUGCUACCGUUCAGAAGUCGAUAAAUGUACCAUCCUUAUCUCUGUGUCCGAAUGAAGAACAGUUGUCAUCUAUUUCACGUGACGAUGAUAGUAUUAAGUAUUAUAUUGUCAGAAUUGAAUGUACCAUGGAUUAUUAUUCCGAGGGUCAUGGACAAGUAAAUAGUUGGUAGAGCUUGACGAAGUCUCAUCAGAAAUUAGAAAUACAGAUUCAAAGUACGGAAAGCACCUUCCACCAUUACCGUUGUGUCUCGCGAGUGCGCCGGAAAUUGAACACAUGCCACCGAUACUGAAGAUAGUGAUUGUAUGGUACCUGACCAUGUGGCCAAUAACAUGCAGGUUUUAACAACGAUGGACAACCAGCAACCAUUAGGCGGAGAUUGUGAGCCAGACGUCCAGACCAAGAGACCAAUACUGUCAGAAAAAUUAAAAAGAUGUAAAAAACUAUACUCGUGGGCAUAAAUACAGAGGAGGAUUCUAAAUGUUUUCUGGCACACGUAUCGCCAAUUACACAACACGUUGUAGAGGAAACAUGCAAUUACAGCCAUGCGAGUCUCCUGCAAUUGAGAUAUCGUCACCAAAAUGACUGAUACCGCCGUGUGAUGUGACUGAGUGCAUCUGUGAGAAGACAACGAGUUGAGGAGACGAGAGAGAUGCAAAAUGAGAUGAUGACUGGUGGCAUCAAUCUAAAACUAAAGUUUAAAAUUUAUUAAAAUUAAUUUUUGUUGAAAAACUUUAAUCAUAUAAUGAUUGUUAAUUUUCUCAUAUUAUUAAAUAAACAGUGAAGCU